RNAcentral lists this ribosomal RNA (762 nucleotides) under Triticum aestivum (bread wheat). RNAcentral describes it as "partial small subunit ribosomal RNA". The record is from RNAcentral. Lineage: Eukaryota; Viridiplantae; Streptophyta; Magnoliopsida; Poales; Poaceae.
AUGGGCAACCAGAGGGAUAUAGAAAGAAGCCAGCUGAGGGUGAAAGUAUCAAUUGCAGCAGUUAAGUGGCUUACAACACAAUCGUGUGCAUUUAGAGGCCAUGAUGAAACUCCAGACUCAAAGAACAGAGGGAACUUUAUUGAAUUGUUAAAGCUCCUUGCAGAAUUCAAUCCCGAGAUUGCCGAAGUUAUUUUGGAGAAUGCUCCAUACAGUUUAAAGUACACAUCACAUGAAAUCCAACAGGAGAUUUUGGGUAUUUAUGCAUUGAAAGUUAGGAAACAUAUCCGUGAAGAGAUUGGGGAUUCUAAGUUUUCUAUUCUAGUGGACGAGACAUGUGAUGUAGCAAAAAGAGAGCAGAUGGCAUUGGUCCUCAGAUUUCUUGAUGAAGAUCGUAUAUUGCAAGAGCGGUUCUUUGCCUUGAUACAUGUGACGAACACCAAAGCCGCAACACUUAAAGGGGUAUUGAGUUCUGUGUUAUCCAAACAUGCUUUUGAUGUUCAGAACCUUCGUGGGCAGGGAUACGAUGGGGCUAGUAAUAUGAGGGGGGAGUUCAAUGGCUUGCAAGCUCUUUUUCUUAGAGAAUGCCAGUGUGCAUAUUAUGUCCACUGUUAUGCUCAUCGCUUGCAACUUGCGCUAGUGUCUGCAUCAAAGGAAGUGGUCACUGUUUCUCAAUUCUUUCAGAAACUUCUUUUUAUUGUAAACACCGUUGACUCCUCUGCAAAGCGCCAUAUGAGCUUCGUGAUGCCCAGUUGGAGGAACUAG